CAUUACUUUCCUCUCUCUUUAAAGCAAAGUUUGCACAAUAGGUCUUGUUUGGUAGCUGAGAAAAUAGGCAAAAACACCCUAUUUUCUCAAGACCUUUUCCCUGGUUUGAGAAUAGGGAAAGCCAUAGAUUAACAGAGCAAGAUGGGGCUCCGCCUUUCCCAUUUUUUCCCCAAUUUUAGGGAAAACUGUAGUAUACCCCUUGGACUGAGCUACAUUUUUAUAUGGUAGGGGGAAACACAGAACACCCCCUUAUUUCACUCACUCAUGCUCAAACCCUUGGCCCAUAUUAUUUUCUCACUCUCUCUCUCAACCCUCUCUCUCUCUCUCUCUCUCAAACCCAACACGUCCCUAUCCAAGCCUCUUCUCUCUUUCUCUCUCCUCCAGCUGAUACCCUCUCUCUACCCCAACUCGUCUUUACCCAAGCCCAUUCCCGCUCUCUACCCUACUCGAGGUCCCUCUCUCUCUCUCUACACAUGCCUCUUCUCUCUCUUCGUCUGCAACCCCAAGUAUAAUCUUGUACUCUCCCCAUCCUUUAUUUGAAGACAUGCCUUCAUUUAGAGAAACCUCAUCUAUGGCAUGGAUAUGUAUUGUAUGUGUGGAUACCUAUUCUUGCUAAAAUUAGGUGGAUAUGUAUGGACAUGCAUCUCUUGUUAAGAUUAAGUGUUUUCUUAUGGAUAUAUAUCUUUUGGUUAGGACAAGAUUAGGUGUAUUUGAUAUGUAUCUAUAAUUGUUACUUGCGGGAUAUUUAUACUAGUUUUGCAUAUUAUUUGAUACAUGGAUAUAGAGAGAGCUUCCUGUAGAAAUUCUGAGACUCGGAAUCAGAGCCAUAGAUUUUGUCAGACCUACUGUCGGAUAGAACCAACAACCUAAGGAUUGAUCUGUACCUCUACAGUGACUCUGAUCUGAGCCCUACUAUCAAGUAGUUCCAUAACAACCAUUCAGCUGUUUCAAUCCAUUGCCUCAUCAAGGGCUUCAAGUGCGCCUCAUUUUCACAUAAAAGGGCCAAAACCCAUUGUUCCUAACGCAGUUCGCUCAUUGACCGAUUUCUAUCGAGCACCAACACUCUAGCAACCCCAUCGAUCGUGAGACCCCAUUCCUUCCUUCCUUCUUUCUAUUGAGCCAUUUUUCCACUGUCCGUCAAUUCCCUUUCUUUAAAGCCUGCAGAAGUACAUAAUAUAAAAUAUCAAAUGAUAAGAGGAGCCCCAAUACCAUAGAGCGUCAUACCAGUCUUGACCGAGCAACCAGCGUGCUUAUUAUCCCAACCUAACUCGUUGAUGGUGUCAUCCGCACCCAAGACCUUCUCGCUUGUUUUUAUGUAUUCUUAUAGGCCAUGUGGAGCCAUGCUGCUGCCCAUAACAAUUCAUCCUGGUAACCGUAGAAAUCACAGUUGAAGGGGCAAAUGGCUGAAUUGAAGUGACACGCUUCUCUCUCUGCGACCGUGCCAUUGCUCAAUGCUUUCUCUGUCUAUGAUCUGUAAACUCAUUCGCCUUGGCUUUGUGACUACGCCAUUGCUUUUGAGGGGCCUCCAUCUAAGACGAAGGUAACAUUCAUGAUUAUAUUGCUUUAGGUUGCCUUUUCUUUUUUAAAGAAAAUUCAUUGACUUCCUCUAAUUCAGUUCAAAUUAUUAUUGUCAAAUUAGAUGGAUCGAACUAUAGUCAUUGGUCCUAUCUUAUGCAGAGUUCUCUUAAGGAGAAAUGGCUAUGGAAAUAUAUCACUGGUGACAAAUUAUAUCGCAAAGCAUCUAACGCAUUAAAAGGAGAAGGAUUUUGAAUAUAAAUUAGAAGAAUGAAGACAUAAACAACCAUAAAAUUGUCACAUGGAUUGUCAACUCUAUUAAACCAUCAAUUAGUAUGGAAUUUGGAAUAUUUGAAACUGCCAAAGAGCUAUGAGAAUUUCUUUUCUCUCGCCAUGUUCAAACUAAUUUUGCUUGUAAAUAUAAACUUGAGAUUUAUCUCUGAUUUUCAUUUUCAAAUUUCAGUUAUAAUGGAACCCAAAUAGUUUGUUGAUGCUGAAAUUAUUAAAAGCAUAGAGAAGAAAUGCACUUGGUCCAAUUUUUAAUGACUUUACAAGAUGAUUUUGAAUCUGUUUGAUCAUCUAUUCUUUACCGCACUCCUCUUCCAUAUGUAGAUUAUGUACUUUCUGAGCUCAUGGUUGAAGAAACACAAAAGGGAAGAUUUGUCAAUUCUCUUGUAAAUGAAGAAUCUGUUCUUUUGGCUCCAACAAAUCUUCCUGUGACUGCUCUACCGACCUCGUCCUCUUCAGUUGCGACUGGAAGGACCGGCUAUGAUAUGUCCAAAGUUCAAUGCAAUUAUUGCAAACAGUAUUGACACAUGAAAUUUAUUGUCCAGUUAAAUAAAAAAAAAACCCUUUGUUCAGAAAACCAUUGCACUAGGACUCACUAUGGCAUUGCACUAGGACUCACUGUGGUAUAGGUAAUGCAUUUGUUGUUGCAUAUGCUUUGCUUGGAACCUCAGGUACAAAACAUUAACUCAUUGAUUUUGGUGCUUCUAACCAAAUAUCAUUUGAUUCUAGUUUCUUGUAUUCUCCUAUUUUUGCUACUAAUCAUCUAUUAAUCCAUACUUAUGGUGGUUCUGUUAUGUUUGUAAAUAUUGGUACAAUAGCAUUCUCUCAAUUAUCACUUCUUGAUGUCUUCAUGGUUCCCAAACUAUCAAUGAAUCUCAUUUUUGUAGGGCAGUUGUUCACCAAGAUUUUGACAUUAUUUUAUCCUGCUCUAGUUCUGUUGUGUAGGAUCACUUGAUGGGGAAAGCAAAUUGGGACAGGAUGUAAGAGGACUUACAUGUUUCACAACAUCUUGGGGAUUCGCUACUCGCUGGUUCAGCUACCUCAAUAUCUUCCUUUUUAAUGUGGCAUAACAGACUAGUCAUGUUUCUUUUCCUCGGCUUAAGUUUUUAAUGUCAACUGGUAAGUUGGGCUCUAUACAGACCACCAACAUUGUUGGUUGCAUUAUUUGUAUGUUGGUGCAAGUUGGCAAAAAAUACUGCACUUACAUUUCCUAUUAAUGAAUUUGUUUUUUCUUCUCCUUUUGAUCUCAUGCAUUCUGAUUUGUGGAGUCCCACUUCUGUUUCAUCUAUAGGGAGGGAUCAUUGUUACAUUAUUUUUAUUGAUGAUUAUUCCUGGUGCACUUUGGUAUACAUGUUGCAUUUUAAGUUUGACUUUUAUCAUGUUUAUAAUGAAUUAUCUACCAUGAUCAAACCCAAUUUUCAAAAUCCAUUAAAUUUUUUGUUCUGAUUCUGGUGGAGAAUAUUUGUCAAAAUCAUUUAGAAGUCUCCUCUCAUGGAACAUUGGCUCAAUUGUCAUAUCCUGAUACACCACAACAAAAUGGUGUGGCAGAAUGAAAGCAUUGCCAUAUCAUUGAGACUGCUCAUACCAUGUUGCUUUCAUCUUCAAUUCCAAAAUUUGUUGGGGAGAGGCAAUAAAUACCUCUGUUUAUGUCAUCAAUAGUAUCCCAUCAUUUGGCAUGUUUCCUUUUGAGCAAUUUUAUUCCUCUACUCCUGAUUAUUCUCAACUCUAUGUUUUUGGAUCAAAUUGUUUUGUUCUCUUACCUAAAGAUGAACAAAAAAAGUUGUCCAAGAAAUUAGCCAUGUGUAUUUUUGGGUUAUGGCGUUCAGCAAAAAGGCUUUCGGUGUUAUAAUCCCAUUUCACAAAAAAUUCUUCUUUCACACCACGUAACUUUCUAAGAAAGGGUAUCUGUCAUGCUUUCGCCAUCUCUCCCAUUCAUCUCAUGAGCUCAAUCAUUUUCUUGAUCCCUUCAUUGACUCCUCAGGAGACCUUUUAGUACCCAAUGCUCUGUCUGACACACCUCAAGACACUUUACAACAAAAUGGAGAUAUCAGUCCCUCUGUCUCAUUUGACCCUAAGCUUUAUGUGCCAUAUCCUAAUUAUGCACCUCCUAAUAGCGAUGAGCAACCUCCUCCUCCAUGAGUCACUAUCCUACAUGAGUGCGCUCUGCACCUCAGCAUUUUCAUGAUUUUCAUUGCUUUUUAACUACUGUUCUUUCUUUUCAUGAGCCUAAGACAUACAAAAAAGCUGUAUUUGAUCCAAGUUAGUAGUAAGCUAUGAUAGAUGCCUUAAAAAAAAUAAUACCCGAGAUCUUGUUGCUUUACCUCAUGGAAAAUCUAUCGUCAGUUGUCAAUGGGUCUACAAAAUUAAGACUAAUUCAAUGAGAUAAUUGAGCGGUAUAAAGCAUGUUUAGAUGCAAAGGGCUUCACUCAAGAGUAUGGGAUUGAUUAUGAAGUAAAGUUUGCACCAAUUGCUCGACUAACCUCAGUACGGAUCGUAAUUGCCAUAGCUUUUGUUCGCGGUUGGCCUUUGUAUCAAGUGGAUAUUAAGAAUGCCUUCUUUUUUGGUGGCUUGCAUGAAGAAGGUUAUAUGAAACAUCCUCUUGGUAUUCCCCAUCAACCUAAUCAAGUUUGCAAACUUUGAUAGGCCCUAUAUGGUCUUAAAUAGGCACCUCGUGCUUGAUUUAAGAAAUUCUGCUUUGUUAUCAUCCAACUGGGUUCACUCAAAGUCCUCAUGAUUAUGCACUUUUCGUUCAAUGAUAUGGUAUUGACUGACAGUGAUUAUGCUGGUAUCCGUAAUGCUCAACUGCACUUGCACAAGUACUUUGAAGUGAAGGACCUUGGACGACUUCGUUACUUUCUUGGCAUUGAACUUAUUUCUUAGCUCACGGCUAUACUCUAUCUCAACUAAAAUAUGCAUCUGAUCUCAUAUCUCGGGCUUCUCUCACAGACAACAAAAUUGUUUAGACUCCACUAGAGUUGAAUGUCAAGUUCGCUUCACAAAUGGUAUAUUGCUUUCUGAUUUGACCCGGUACAUGUAAAUUGUUGGAGGUCUUAAUUAUUUAACUAUCACUUGUCCUAAUAUCGGUCAUGUUGUUCACAUAGUUAGUUAGUUCAGGUUUCCUCCUCGCUCUAUUCAUUAUGCUGCUAUACUUCACAUCUUAUGCUAUGUUCGAGAUAUCCUGUAUCAAGAUCUGCUUAUGUCUUCCACUUUUGCUCUUGAACUUUGUGCUUAUUAUGAUGUGGACUUGGCAUGAAAUGUUACUUAGCAUCUAUCUACUAAUGGGUUUCUUGUUUUCUUGAGCAAUUUACUUAUCCUGUGGAAAAGUGAGCGAUUUACUUAUCUUGCGGAAAAGUAAGAAAUAAAAAGUUGUUUCUAGAUCAAGUGUUGAAGCUGAAUACAUAGCUCUACUACUAGGUUUCUUGUGUUCUCGGGCGAUUUACUUAUCCUGUGGAAAAGUGGACGAUUUACUUAUCUUGUGGAAAAGUAAGAAAUAAAAGGUUGUUUCUCGAUCUAGUGUUGAAGCUGAAUACAGAGCUCUUGAAUGGACAACGACUGAAACUGUUUAGCUGUACUGGAUUCUUCACGAUAUGGGUGUUGUUCACUCUGGUCCUAGUCCACUUUUUUGUGACAAGUGCCAUUCAGAUGACUCAUAAUGAUAUGUUUUAUGAGUGGACACAAUAUUUUGAAAUUGAUUACCGCUUUGUUCGA
Amborella trichopoda is the source of this 5511-nucleotide non-coding RNA. The record is from RefSeq and is a predicted model, not a curated record. NCBI's taxonomy places the organism in Eukaryota, Viridiplantae, Streptophyta, Magnoliopsida, Amborellales, Amborellaceae.